UACGGAGGGUGCGAGCGUUGUCCGGAAUCACUGGGCGUAAAGGGCGCGUAGGCGGCUCCAUAAGCGGGCGGUGAAAGCCCGGGGCUCAACCCCGGGUCGGCCGUGCGGACUGUGGGGCUGGAGCACUGUAGAGGCGGGUGGAAUUCCGGGUGUAGCGGUGGAAUGCGUAGAGAUCCGGAAGAACACCGGUGGCGAAGGCGGCCCGCUGGGCAGUGGCUGACGCUGAGGCGCGACAGCGUGGGGAGCGAACAGG
RNAcentral lists this ribosomal RNA (253 nucleotides) under uncultured bacterium. RNAcentral's name for it is "partial 16S ribosomal RNA". It matches the Rfam family "Bacterial small subunit ribosomal RNA", at positions 524 to 776 of the family's 1533-position model. The record is from RNAcentral.